This 261-nucleotide ribosomal RNA is filed under the name uncultured bacterium. RNAcentral describes it as "partial 16S ribosomal RNA". It matches the Rfam family "Bacterial small subunit ribosomal RNA", at positions 29 to 314 of the family's 1533-position model. The record is from RNAcentral.
AGCGAACGCUGGCGGCAGGCUUAACACAUGCAAGUCGAGCGCCCGUAGCAAUACGGGAGCGGCAGACGGGAGAGUAACACGUGGGAACAUGCCCUUCGGUUCGGAAUAACUCAGGGAAACUUGAGCUAAUACCGGAUACGUCCGUAAGGAGAAAGAUUUAUCGCCCGAAGGAUUGGCCCGCGUCCGAUUAGCUUGGUUGGUGAGGUAAUGGCUCACCAAGGCGACGAUCGGUAGCUGGCUGAGAGGAUGAUCAGCCUCACU